Molecule: ribosomal RNA, 602 nt
Filed under: Aureobasidium sp. YS DN1
Lineage: Eukaryota; Fungi; Ascomycota; Dothideomycetes; Dothideales; Saccotheciaceae
Description: eukaryotic LSU rRNA
Rfam family: Eukaryotic large subunit ribosomal RNA
Source: RNAcentral
GCAUAUCAAUAAGCGGAGGAAAAGAAACCAACAGGGAUUGCCCUAGUAACGGCGAGUGAAGCGGCAACAGCUCAAAUUUGAAAGCUAGCCUUCGGGUUCGCAUUGUAAUUUGUAGAGGAUGAUUUGGGGAAGCCGCCUGUCUAAGUUCCUUGGAACAGGACGUCAUAGAGGGUGAGAAUCCCGUAUGUGACAGGAAAUGGCACCCUAUGUAAAUCUCCUUCGACGAGUCGAGUUGUUUGGGAAUGCAGCUCUAAAUGGGAGGUAAAUUUCUUCUAAAGCUAAAUAUUGGCGAGAGACCGAUAGCGCACAAGUAGAGUGAUCGAAAGAUGAAAAGCACUUUGGAAAGAGAGUUAAAAAGCACGUGAAAUUGUUGAAAGGGAAGCGCUUGCAAUCAGACUUGUUUAAACUGUUCGGCCGGUCUUCUGACCGGUUUACUCAGUUUGGACAGGCCAGCAUCAGUUUCGGCGGCCGGAUAAAGGCUCUGGGAAUGUGGCCUCCACUUCGGUGGAGGUGUUAUAGCCCAGGGUGUAAUACGGCCAGCCGGGACUGAGGUCCGCGCUUCGGCUAGGAUGCUGGCGUAAUGGUUGUAAGCGACCCGUCUU